RNAcentral lists this ribosomal RNA (229 nucleotides) under uncultured bacterium. Its description in RNAcentral is "partial 16S ribosomal RNA". It matches the Rfam family "Bacterial small subunit ribosomal RNA", at positions 118 to 345 of the family's 1533-position model. The record is from RNAcentral.
UGAGGAACAUGACCUUCGGCGGGGGAUAGCCGGCCCAACGGCCGGGUAAUACCGCGUACGACCACAUGGGGACAUCCCUGAGUGGUGAAAGCAGCAAUGCGCCGAUGGAGUGCCUCGCGGCCUAUCAGCUAGUUGGUGAGGUAACGGCUCACCAAGGCGACGACGGGUANCUGGUCUGAGAGGACGACCAGCCACACUGGAACUGAGAUACGGUCCAGCUCCGUAGGUG